CUAGGCCACGCAAGGACAUUCACCUGUUUCUCCUUUAACCACUUUGUGGUCAGUUUUGCUGUGUGCUUUGGGUCGUGGUCAUGUUGUAAGAUAAACCUUCUUCAUAGACAAGUUUCUGGCAGAGGGCAGUAGAUUUUCCUCAAGAAUUUGACUGUGUAUUGCACCAUCCAUUUUACCUUCUAUCCUGACAAGUGCUUCAGUCCCUGAUGCAGAGAAACAACCCCAUAACAGGAUAUUACUACCUCCAUGCUUUGUGGUAGGGAUGGUGUUUUUUGGAUAGUGAGCUUUAUUGGAUUUCAACCCGAUGUAUCGUUUACUGUAGUGUUGAGGCCAAAUAAUUCAAUUUUAGUCUCAUCCGACCAUAACACCUUUUUCCAUGUGGCCUCAGAAUCUUCAAGGUGCGUUUUGGCAAAGCUCUGUCGUGACUGCAUGUGGCCUUUCUUGAGGAGUGGCUUUUUUCUUGCAACCCUCCCAUACAAGCCAGAUUUGUGGAGAAUUUGUGAUAUUGUUGUCACAUGCACAAAAUGACCACUCUUUGUCAUAAAUUCCUGCAACUGCUUCAGUAUUGAUGUGGGCCUCUUGGUAGCAUCUCUGACCAGUUUCCACCUGGCUCUUUCAACCAGUUCGGAGUGACGUCCUGAUCCAGGGAGGGUCUAUCUUCAUUUCAAGCUGCAAAGCAACAAAAUUUAUUAUUUUGAGGGGGGGAUUUAUUUCUAUAUCCACUGUAAAUGAAAUGAGGGUGAGUAAAUGCCAGAAUUUUCAUUUUUGGGUGAACUAACCCUUUAACAAUCCCAUUUCCCAGGAACACAUACUCUGUACUGUAAAUUGCUUAGCAAAAAACUAGGUUUUCCUAUUCCCAAGCUCUUAAGGUUCCCGUCUUCUCUUUUCUAGACUUCCUGAAGAUUUCUGCAGUUCAGUGACAUUGUGACUGUGUUUGUGCGCAUCAAGCGCAACACUGCAGCCGAGCCAAGUGUCAGACUGAUGGGCAUGAGUCACGGUGGCUCUUCUAUUAGAGAUGCUAAUAGGACAGGACAAAAGCACAGCACCCACUCAGGAUGGAGGAGAUGGGGUAAUGAUGGCUAAUUAACUUACGGGUGCCCUCCCUUCUCUCUCCCUUUAACAUGCACGGAAAAAGAAAGUAUGACUCAUGUUAUGUGAUGACCACCUGCUUUCUGAAAUAUCUCAACAGUUGUUGCCUGCGUAUUUAAAGGUCGACUUAAUCUGAGUUAUUGAGCAAGUGACUGAUUAGUUAUGCAUAUUUGAGGCAGGUAUUGACUUAAUACAUGGACGUGAAAUGAGGUGGGGGGCUUCUACAUUUUAAUAGGUAUAGUGAGGGGCCUGUUAUUGCCCUAAAAUUACUUCUAAAAGACUUCUGAUGCUACCGCGAGGCAGAUUACGGUAGUGAAGCAUGAGAGGCCGCAUGUUACAGUGAUUUGACGUUGCCUGUAAGUCAUGUUGAAAUGAAUAUUUAUUUGGGUUUUUCAUUAAGACUUCACGCUGGGGGGGUGGGGGACGUUAAGAAGUCAUGCAGAAGCAAUAUAAAUUAUGUUAGGUUGUAAUGGUGAAUGUUAAGUGUACAUCAUUAUAUUUCGUGUAAUGGGUUGAUAAAGAAUGGCUUUGAAUCUGCUCAACCAAUCAGAUUUCAGAGCAGCAAGUAGUUGUUUUAGAAACUGAUAAAUAGGUUUCUUAAAGGACAAUUGUGUGAUUUUUAGUGGCAUCUAGUGGUGCGAAUUGCAACCAACGGCUCACUCCACCCCUCCCUUUCGAGUCACUACGGAGGCUGAGAGAGGACGAAGAUGUCAUCACGUUUUCUCUUCUUUGCCAUUGGGGGUUAGGUUUUUACAAAACGUGCUGUAGAGCGGUUUGUCCGUUUAGGGCUUCUGGAGAAACAACAUGGUGAAUUCCAUGUAAGGGGACUCGCGGUGUAUGUAGAUAGAAAUAGCUCAUUCUAAGGUAAUAAAAACAUAACGCUUCAUUAUGUAAGGUCUUUGUAUACCUCUGAAGAUAUAGUUUUGUAUAUUAUAUUGCAUUUCUGUCAAUAGAUCCUCCAAAAAAUUACACAAAGAUUCCGAGGUGUGGAUUCUUUGAGUAAAAAAAUGAAAAUCAUUAUUUUAAAUUCAAUAGAACUGUGACACCUCCGUGCCAUUACUUGUGUAUUUUUUAAGUCACCAUAAAAUCAAAAUGUACUAUUCUUAUUGCAUAUGGAAUAAUGUAGUCUUAUUUAUUUGUGCACUUUAUUAUUACUUUCUAAUUUAUGUGACCUCAUAAUCUGUCAUCAAAUACGUAAACUUCUGCCUAUAUUUUAUUAGCAACAACCAACUUCCAACGAUCCAAAAUGAUGGACAAAAUCAAGUCCCGCUUUUUUCUUAUUUCAGAAGCCGUUUCACUGAGAUGUACAGUAUGUUACGAUAGGGGGGUUAAGACAACCGCUACUUCUGUUUCAUGCCUACUUUAAGAAUAGUUCCCUGUUGAUGUUCGUUUAGGUUUGAUAAUACACUCACAAAUAGUGUUAAACGAUUUUCUGAACAAAAGUGGGACACGAUAAGCUGCUACUUAAAGACAAGUUACAAGUUAUCUGGACUCAUUUGUCCACUGUUUGUGGAGUGAUCUAUAGGGCUUGGUUUGAAUUAGGCGCCACUUAUUUUAAGAGGGUCACAAUAAGUGCCAGGGUUUGUGUAUGUGUCAUGUGUACAGUAUGUUGUGUAUUGUGUAGAGUACUGUAUGAUUGUUGUGGUUGCAGUAAGAAUUACAUUAAUCUCCUCGGUGUAUUCUGCAGAUAGGACAUUAAUAUGCCUGGGAUGAACAUUUAAAUCGAGUUUAUUCUGAAAUUGCACUGGCCUCAACAAAUAAACCCAACUUUAUACUGUCAUUUUUACGGUAUUGCUACUGUGCCCAUUAAUAAAAAACACCUCUGUUGUGAUAUUUGCUGAUAUUCAGCAUGUGAUUUCUGUAUUUUCUAGCCCAAGGGCACAAAUGCUAUGCAAAUCCUCGUCAUUCUCUCUCUAUUUCUCUCCCUGACUGAGUUAGUUAUCUGUUGACCGUUUGUUGGACCGGUGAAUUCCGAGACCUUCUAAACUCUCUAAAUUAUUGGAAAACAGCCAGUUUUGUGUUACUAUCAACUGAUUGAAGGAUUUUAUUUUCGAAACGCUCUAGAUUUUCUCUGCCAAGGCUAAAAUAUUAAAUGAAAGUAAAUAAUUCAGUAUAUACUUGAUUUGAUACAGAUCUCUGUGAACCUUUCUGAGGGAUGAUGAAAAUAGAACGGUGAGGUUUCAUGUUAUUUGACUACUUAAAUUUAAGUUAGAGAUGCUUUAAAUGCUUUUUUCGUGCAUUUAUAGAUGUGACUAUGUAUAUACACACACACACACACACACAAAUAUAUUUUUGUUUCUGUGACUUGAACUUUAAUGCUUAAGUGGUUUUUAUUCCAGCGCAGGGAAAGAAAAACAAGGUAAUUUGAAGCAGAAAAAAGUUGUUUGACAGAAAUGUUCUCAAACCUUUUACACUCUCUUGUACUUACAGUUUUAUCCCAGGAGUCGUGAGUGCCAUUGCAGGUUAAACUUCCUGUGGGACUAUUAAAUGUAAUCUCAUUGUCGUCUUUUUGGCAGUUUGUCUGACAUAUGUGCUUAUACUGGAGCACAGAGCAAUUUGUGGAUACAGGCAGUCUACGUUUGAUGGGAGAUGUGUCAAAUUAACUAUACGAAGAAAGCUAAAGAAAACUAUGGCGGUCAAUGAAAUGGUAAACCAGUAAUUUUAUUACAUCUACAGUAAAAGUGCUGCCACCAUGCUAGGUCCCGUUCAUACUUGAAACUAUAAAGAUAAAGUUUUAAAAACUGUUCUAAAUAUACUGUAAGAAGCACCACACCACAACUGUAAUGAUGCAGAGGCAUGACAUUGUUGGGAUGACUUUCAUUUUCUGCUAAAUUAAACUCUGGAAUAGCUUUCCCGAUACUAUUCGAGGGUCAGACACACUCCCAAUUUAAAUGUAGGUUAAAGACACAUCUUUUCAGCCAAGCAUUCAAUUAAUGCAUAAUAUGCUAAAUGAAAAAAAUGGAUGAACAGCAGCUAAGCUAAUUAGUCUCUUUCUGCCUUCCUCCCCCGCCUCGGGAUGGGAGAGAUUACGCCAGGCCCAGAUAAACGUCAUAUCCCCAUCCCGUGCCAUCCUCCUGCGAGAGCCUGCGGACUGACUGACCAUCCCAGCUCAGGCAAUCCCAUCCCCGAUAAUCUGUCAUGAAUGGUGGGUGGUGAGGACACGGAGACAAGGACAGAGGACCCAAGUGCAGACAGCGGUGCUUCAGUGCAUUCGGCUGCUUAUUAUGAUUCUGCACAUCACAUAUGCUUGUUUAAAUCAACUUUAUUCUCCAAAAAUGUCAGAAAAACGGAACGCAAACAGAUCAGCCCGCUGGAUUUAUGUCAGAGCCCUGGGAGCGAGGUGAAUAUUGAGCUCUGUGACCAGAAUGAAAAGUGCGGAUAUAUGGUGGGUGGAUUUUCUUGGAUGAAAGAGUGGCUUUUUCAGGAUCAUGUUAUUAGCUCAUUUCUUUCUUCCCACAGAGACUAAGAGUGUCUGCGGUACUUUAUGAGAUGGACUUUGAGCUUUACGUCUUAAUAGAGUAAAAUUCUGCAUUAUAAAACGAUUGUAUGAGUCAUUGUAAAAGAGACGGUAUAAUUUACACACUGCUCUCAAAGCAUACUCAACAGUACCAGAUUUCCUACCUAUUUUUUUUCUUUCUGUACUGCUUAGAAUAGAAUAGAAUAGAAUAGAAUAGAAUAGAAUAGAAUAGAAUAGAAUAGACAACCCAGUCUCACAGCAAGUCAUGACAGAAUUUAGAAUCUAUUGAUUUGUGUUCAUGGACACGAAUUCCCUCUUUAUUCAUGUCAGUCAGCAUGACUUUUUCCAUGUCACUUAGCACAACUUUUUUUCGUGUCGCUAAGCACGACUUUCAAUAUACAGACUCAAUGUGUAUAUGCAUUUAUAUAUUUAUAACCUACAUAUGACAUAAUACAUAUUUUAAGCAACCACUUAGCCCACCCUAAACCCUAAAAUCACAGGCGCAAAGGUUAAUUUUACUAAAAAGAACGCAUUUUGCGAUGUGUAAAAGCAACAAUAAAGGCCCUCCUAACCCCGCCAUUAAACCUAACGUAUAGGGGCAAAGUCAAAUUAUACAUACGAAUGUGAUCACACAAAUUCACAUGAAUGAGUGCACCUCAAAAAGUAAGUGCGAAUUCCCGUUAGAUCGCGUUGAUUACACCAACACAUCCUCACUCCCGACUCAUCACAUAUUUACGCUCAUCACAUAUUACGUCCUUCGGCGUCACUUUUGACUCCUUUGGCGUCGUUUUUCGACGUGAAGGGCACGCGAAUUUCACUGGCAUUAUGAAAAUGUAUAUUAGAUAUAAUUUGCAAUGAUGAUGUUUCGGGGUUUAAUUUAAGUUUAAUGGCCAGGAUAAUUGUGUUUACAUGACACUGUUCAGACAGUUUGAGCAAGUAAUGUAACAGUUUAUUUAUCGUAAUUUAAAACACAUAAUACAAGCAGUCACAAUGUCGUUGAAAAAUACAGAUAUUCCAAGGGUACCAACGCGAAACGAUCGAUUUGUAUGAGGAACAGAUGCGAAAGUGAUCACCGUCCGCCGUAAAUCUCAAAUCCAGUGAAGAACGACGUUCAAAAUUUGCCGCCAGAGGAAGUUACGUCAGCUUCGAUGCCAUUGGCUGUCCCGUAUCUCGUGACCGAUCGCCGCGUCAUUUCGUUGGCUUUGAACGUGAAAGGGUAUUGGCUCCCGCAACCGACUGCAUCUAGCUGUUCCGGUUUAUCUUUAAAUGGGUGCCGACCUCAUGCGUUCGCGGACACGCACGGCAUCUUCAUGUAAAUUUAUCGUACGGCGUUGGUGCAAAAAGGUCUUCGAAACGAUUUUUUUGUUAUAUUUUGUAAUGCUUUUGGUCAGUUUGUGCAAUAAAUAAGUACUUUAUUAUUUAAGCACUUUAUUUACUUUGUGUCUCAAACAAGUGUGUGCGCUUUGUUUAUAAAUUCACUUAAAAAAGUGUAAUGAAAGGGAAACAUGUUAAUUUGUUCUAUUAUUUUGUCUUAACAUAGCACUGAACAAAAACGGAAAAGCAGUUUUAAAAUCUUGUUCUUGAGUAAUAAUUUUGUCCACUUGGGGUUUUUUUUAAGCUAGAGAAAUAGUAAUGGGAUAACGAGAAAUUGUUUUGUUAUAUAUCGUUUUUCUGUUCUGUUAAUCUGUUGUUGUUACUAUUUCCAGUAAAAAUUUGGUGCAAAAUUCAUGUUUGCAAAUUCGAUUACAGGAAUAGAUAACUAAAUAAAUAGAUUUAUUUGGUUUAAAUGAUGUCCAGUGUUUUAACAUCUACAUGAUUAAUUAGCCUACAGGCACAUUAAGAGCACAAAUCACAAAAUAUUUUAGUGGUCAUGAAAAUGUAUUCAGAUUUAGCAUAUUAAUGAUGCAUUUAUCUGGUAAAUCAUGACAUUUCAUCUACAGGAAAGUAAAUGUAAGUUCAAGUGAAUGCUUUUUAAAAGUAAAAAGAAUUGGUAUCGAAAUCGGCAAUACUGGCCCUGCAUUUACUUGGUAUCGGAUCGAUACUAAAUUUUACAGUAUCGCCCACCACUAGACUCGGGAGUGAUAACGGGUUGAUUACACAUGAAAUUUGAUUGAAAUUCGUGCUGAGUGACACGAAAAAAAAGUUGUGCCAAGUGACAUGAAAAGAGGGGAAGUUCGUGUCCAUUAACACAAAUCAACAGAUUAAAUUUUGUAACUAUGUCACGAAUUUCCGUGAGACUGUUGCAAUAGAAGUUGGUGGUCUUUGGUGGUUCACUUGACUUUGGUAGUUCAGACGCCAAAGUCAUGGGAUCAAUUCCAAGGAAAUAUGUGCACAUAUAAAAUGCAUAGAUUUAACGCACUAAAUCACAUUGCAUAAAAGCAUCUGCCAACUGCAUCAAAUGUUGUUGGCAAUGCCUCUCAUGGUUUAUGGCUUUAUUGAUUUAUUAUCGUCUUCCUCGCACAAUGUUUCUGCAAGUGAGAGUCAUUCAUCUGAUUGUAUUUGAUAUUUAGCUCAUCAGCUGUAAUCUCCCAGUUAAGUGUAUUGUGUGUUGAUUGUGUGUGUACUGUAUGUAUACAGUAUAGAGUGACAGUCAGAUUGACAACCUGGAUAAAUAUCCAUUAGGUGGGCAGCAGCUGGCUCAGAACCUCCUCUUGAACCAUUAACAUUCCACUCAACAUCAACUCAUCCACGUCUCCUCAUUUCCAUAUAAUAUAAUUAGCAGGGUUAGAGGAGACUGCACAGAGCUAUGUAAAUGCAACACCUCCAUGGAAACAUGUGAAAUAUCAAUGAUCCACUCUGUGUUAUGUAUUUCUGGACCAAACUCGUUGGCAAAGGUGCGAAAAAAGAAGGCGGAUUCACGUCAUGUUGCUCACACCAGGCAGCUCUAUGUGCACGGCAGCCCUAAAAUGGCAAUGUAAUUCUGAUGUUUUUCCUUCUUUCACUCGCUUGUGGUUGGUGUUUAUACUGUAUGUUGAAUGAAUCAGCAAUAAGGAAAUGUUUUAAGCUGACUUUAACAUUUAGAAGUAUUAUUAUUGUUAUCUGUGUAUUAGCUUUUGGUCUCAACAUUCACAUCCCCACAAGUGUGUUCAUUUUUGUGAAAAAUGCAAAAAUUGCAAAAAAACAUAAUAUAUUCUGUUUUAUUCACAAAUUAUUAUCAUUUCUUCCGUUUAUGAUGGCAUGCAUUGAUUGUUGGAGUCAAUGCUACGGCACAGCGUCACUUGGCGACCAUCUUGGCAACAUUUCCGGCCAGCUGUUUUCU
Triplophysa rosa is the source of this 7805-nucleotide long non-coding RNA. RefSeq lists it as uncharacterized. The record is from RefSeq and is a predicted model, not a curated record. Lineage: Eukaryota; Metazoa; Chordata; Actinopteri; Cypriniformes; Nemacheilidae. The transcript is spliced from 3 exons.